This 353-nucleotide transfer-messenger RNA is filed under the name Opitutales. Its description in RNAcentral is "UMGS1490 sp900552245 Standard tmRNA". It matches the Rfam family "transfer-messenger RNA". From Rfam's summary of the family: Bacterial tmRNA, also known as 10Sa RNA or SsrA, is named for its dual tRNA and mRNA-like properties. Its role is to liberate the mRNA from a stalled ribosome. The record is from RNAcentral. RNAcentral also lists the same sequence under 1 other name. Lineage: Bacteria; Pseudomonadati; Verrucomicrobiota; Opitutia.
GGGGAUGUUCCGGAAUUCGACUGAGCAUCGUAGAUUAUGUCUGCACGUCGAAGACGACACUUGGCUUCGUAAAAAUGUGUCAAAAAACUAUAAAUGGCGAAGAUUACGCUAUUGCUGCCUAACUAAAGGCGGCGCGUCUGCACCCUGACACCUGAUAGGGGAUUGUGGGCGUCGACAUCAGGUAAAGGGGCUUUGCUUGUUCGGACUGGGGCAGAGCCGCCACAAACAGCUCGAUAGUGCAUAAGCGGUAGUUUUGGCCGAGCUUGUGCGCGAAAUUAAAGCAAAACUAAACGUGUAGUAUGGCGUUUUUGAAAGUACUUAGGACAGGGGUUCGACUCCCCUCAUCUCCACCA